AGGACGAACGCUGGCGGCGUGCUUAACACAUGCAAGUCGAGCGACAGCGCCCUUUCGGGGGUGUAUGGAGCGGCGAACGGGUGAGUAACACGUGGGCAACCUGCCCUCAGCUCUGGGAUAACUCCGGGAAACCGGGCUAAUACCGGAUAUGAUCACUUCGGGCAUCCGGUGGUGGUGGAAAGUUUUUUCGGCUGAGGAUGGGCCCGCGGCCUAUCAGCUUGUUGGUGGGUAAUGGCCUACCAAGGCGACGACGGGU
Molecule: ribosomal RNA, 256 nt
Filed under: uncultured soil bacterium
Lineage: Bacteria
Description: partial 16S ribosomal RNA
Rfam family: Bacterial small subunit ribosomal RNA
Source: RNAcentral